Molecule: long non-coding RNA, 4541 nt
Organism: Ostrinia nubilalis (European corn borer)
Lineage: Eukaryota; Metazoa; Arthropoda; Insecta; Lepidoptera; Crambidae
Exons: 2
Source: RefSeq, a predicted model, not a curated record
UUUAAGUUUCCAAAUAUGUAAUUUGUAAGAUAUAUUUGAUGCUGACAGUAGGUUAGGUUUUAUUAGCGCUCUGGAUCAAAACCGCAAUGGUAUUUACUGCGCAAAAUUCUCAAUCAAUUCUCUUUUCUGACGCCUAUUUAUUUUGACUGUAGGAUCAAUUUCAUAAAUUUUGGUGGCCAAGGACUUUUAGAGCUUGCCCAAACAAAUGUUUCGAUAAACCAGGACAGACUGUCCUAUCCAGAACAAGGAGAGCCAGCCCCAAAUAAUGGGAAAUUGCUAGGACAAAGAAGAAAGGAUCAAUUUGAUUACUAUGCCUAACACACAUUGUGUUUAGGCUUCAUAAACAUCUUACAAUAACUUGUCUAUUCGACAAAGACAUCAACAAAACAUCUAUCGAUGUAUCUAACCCGACAAGAAAUUCUAAUAUGAUAAUAGACAACAUACAACAAAAGUUGUUUAAUCAUACAAACUAAUCAACUAUGUCUAGCUACGAAGCCUGCACGUGGUAUUUUAACUACCCAUAUUAUUUCAUAACACCAUAAUUUUUACACAUAAACAAUAGAUAAAAGAAAAGUGAAACAGUUGAAAAUAACAAAAAUUGUUUAGGAUAUUACACCUUUCAAUUGUUUUUAUUUACUUCGUGCAAAAAAGUUGCUAUACUGGCAACACUGCCCACACGCCGGUAUAAAACAGCGUCAUUCGGCGCGAUCUGUCAGUUCGCUUCGCGCUCGCGCACCGUUCGGGUCAACAACCUUUAGAGUCAAGCAAGAACAAUUAUUUAUUGUGUUGAUUUUUGUGGAAUCUUUACUAAAGUGAGCGUGAAACAUAGUGGAAGGACAAUAUACCAUUGUAACAAGCGGAUCUAAAGUGAACAUUGUAAAAUAAAUUCGAACAGUGUUAUUUUAUGUGCAGUUUGUGGUUGACUGCAAGACGAACUAAAACUAUUUGAGAACGAUGUAACAAAUAAACGGUAUGAAGUCAAUCUCUAAUGAAAAAGUCAUCGCAGUCAAAAACUGGUAACACAAACAACCUGUAACUGGUCAACUGAACAGCUCGUAGUGGAAAUAAUAAAGUCAUCACACUGAUGGAACAACCCGUGGUGGAAAUAACAUCGCAGCGGCAAACUGAGAAUAAAACUCGUGGCGGAAAUAAUAAAGUCAUCACACUGAUGAAUCAAUCUGUGGUGGAAACAACAUUGCAGCGGUGAUCUGAUUGCUGAUACUAGUGAAGGGAAUAAAGUCAUCACACUAAUGGAACAUGCCGUGGUGGAAUUAACAUCGCAGGAGUAAACUAGCAACACAACCAACCUGUAGUGGAAAUAAAGUCAUCACACUGAUGGAACAAUCCGUGGUGCAAAAUAACAUCUCAAUGGUCAACUGAGAACAGCUCGUGGUGGGAAUAAUAAAGUCAUCACACUGAUGGAACAAUCCGUGGUGCAAAAUAACAUCUCAAUGGUCAACUGAGAACAGCUCGUGGUGGGAAUAAUAGUCAUUACACUGGUGGAACACCCGUGGUGGAAAUAACAUCGCAGGAGUAAACUAGCAACACAAACAACCUGUAAUGGUAAUAAAGUCAUCACACUGAUGGAACAAUCCAUGGUGGAAUAACAUAGCGGUGGUCAACUAAUUGCUGAUACUAGUGAAGGGAAUAAAGUCAUCACACUGAUGAAUCAAUCUGUGGUAGAAUAACAUCGCAGUGGCUCAGGCAGUGGUCAUAAUAGCUCGUGGCGGAAAUAAUAAAGUCAUCACACUGAUGGAACAAUUGUGGUGGUCAACUGAGAACAACAUCGCAGUAACAUUGCAGUGGUCAACUGAGAACACGUGGCGGAAAUAAUAAAGUCAUCACAUUGAUGGAACAAACCGUGGCAAAAUAACUUUGGAGCGGCCAAUUGAGAAAAGCUCGCGGCAGAAAUAAUAAAGUCAUCACACUGGUGAAUCAAUCUGUGGUGGAAUAACAUCGCUGUGGUCAACUGACCACAGCUUGUGGCGGAAAUAAUAGAGUCAUCACACUGAUGGAAUAAUCCGUGGUGGAUAUAAAGCCAUCACAGUAAUAAACUGGCAACACAGAGAACUCAAACUGUAGUGAAAAUAAAGUCAUCACACAAGUGAAACAAUCGGUGGUGGAAAUACAGCUACAUUUAUUUCAACACCUACUUAUGAUUUAUGAGUCCUUGAUAAGAUACCAAGAUUUUACGACUGUGGAAAAUCUUGAAAUUAGGAAAAUCACGUAGCAUUAUAGAUCUAGUAAACUAGUAUUAAGCUGCUUGGAAAACAGAAAAUCAUCUAGCCUUAGUUUUAUUUUGGUACUCUUUCUUUGUAAAAUAUAAUGUAAUUAUUUUAAAUAUUUUUCUUAUGAAUUGUAAAUAGUUAAGAUUAUUGUGUAUGUUUUCCUUUUUUUAUUUUAAGUAUUGUAUUUAUGUAAUUUUUAUGUUUAUGCAUUGUAGAGUAAACUGUUUACUCAUAUCAGUGAACGGAAUAAAGUCAUCACUGUGAUGAACUGAUUGCCGGAAUAGUGGUGAACUGAUGGCUGGUACCAGUGAAGGGAAUAAAGUCAUCACAGUGCUGAACUGAUUACUGGAACCAGUGAAUGGAAUAAAGUCAUCACAGCGGUGAAGUCACUGGUACCUGCAGGGGAUAAAGUCAUCACAGUGUUAAACAAUGCUAGAAGCAGUGAACAGAAUAAAGUCAUUACAGUGGUGAACUAAUAGCUGGUACCAGUGAAGGGAAUAAAGUCAUCACAGCGGUGAAGUCACUGGUACCUGAAGGGGAUAAAGACAACACAGUGUUAAACAAAUGCUAGAAGCAGUGAACGGAAUAAAGUCAUCACAGUGAUGAACUGAUAGCUCGUACCAGUGAAGGGAAUAAAGUCAUCACAGCGGUGAAGUCACUGGUACCUGAAGGGGAUAGUCAUCACAGUGUUAAACAAUUUCUAGAAUCAGUGAAUGGAAUAAAGCCAUCAUAGCGGUGAGUCACUGGUACCUGCAGGGGAUAAAGUCAUCACAGUGUUAAACAAUGCUAGAAGCAGUGAACAGAAUAAAGUCAUUACAGUGGUGAACUAAUAGCUGGUACCAGUGAAGGGAAUAAAGUCAUCACAGCGGUGAAGUCACUGGUACCUGAAGGGGAUAGUCAUCACAGUGUUAAACAAUUUCUAGAAUCAGUGAAUGGAAUAAAGCCAUCAUAGCGGUGAGUCACUGGUACCUGCAGGGGAUAAAGUCAUCACAGUGUUAAACAAUGCUAGAAGCAGUGAACAGAAUAAAGUCAUUACAGUGGUGAACUAAUAGCUGGUACCAGUGAAGGGAAUAAAGUCAUCACAGCGGUGAAGUCACUGGUACCUGAAGGGAAUAGUCAUCACAGUGUUAAACAAUUUCUAGAAUCAGUGAAUGGAAUAAAGCCAUCAUAGCGGUGAGUCACUGGUACCUGCAGGGGAUAAAGUCAUCACAGUGUUAAACAAUGCUAGAAGGAGUGAACAGAAUAAAGUCAUUACAGUGGUGAACUAAUAGCUGGUACCAGUGAAGGGAAUAAAGUCAUCACAGCGGUGAAGUCACUGGUACCUGAAGGGGAUAGUCAUCACAGUGUUAAACAAUUUCUAGAAUCAGUGAAUGGAAUAAAGCCAUCAUAGCGGUGAGUCACUGGUACCUGCAGGGGAUAAAGUCAUCACAGUGUUAAACAAUGCUAGAAGGAGUGAACAGAAUAAAGUCAUUACAGUGGUGAACUAAUAGCUGGUACCAGUGAAGGGAAUAAAGUCAUCACAGCGGUGAAGUCACUGGUACCUGAAGGGGAUAGUCAUCACAGUGUUAAACAAUUUCUAGAAUCAGUGAAUGGAAUAAAGCCAUCAUAGCGGUGAGUCACUGGUACCUGCAGGGGAUAAAGUCAUCACAGUGUUAAACAAUGCUAGAAGGAGUGAACAGAAUAAAGUCAUUACAGUGGUGAACUAAUAGCUGGUACCAGUGAAGGGAAUAAAGUCAUCACAGCGGUGAAGUCACUGGUACCUGAAGGGGAUAGUCAUCACAGUGUUAAACAAUUUCUAGAAUCAGUGAAUGGAAUAAAGCCAUCAUAGCGGUGAGUCACUGGUACCUGCAGGGGAUAAAGUCAUCACAGUGUUAAACAAUGCUAGAAGCAGUGAACAGAAUAAAGUCAUUACAGUGGUGAACUAAUAGCUGGUACCAGUGAAGGGAAUAAAGUCAUCACAGCGGUGAAGUCACUGGUACCUAAAGGGGAUAAAGUCAUCACAGUGUUAAACAAUUGCUAGAAUCAGUGAACGGAAUAAAGUCAUUAUAGUGGUGAACUAAUAGCUGGUACCAGUAAUGGGAACAAAGACAUUACAGUGGUGAACUGAUUGAUGGAACAGUGGUGAACUAAUGACUGGUACCAGUGAACGGAAUAAAGUAAUUACAGUGGUGAACUGAUAGCUGGUACCAGUGAAGGGAAUAAAGUCAUCACAGGGAUGAACUGUAUUCAUUAUUUGUAGUUUCAAGAGUAUGUAAUUGUAGAUGUAUGAGUUAGUUUUAAGUGUUUUAAAUAAAUAAGUGUAAAUUAUAAUAA